This 354-nucleotide non-coding RNA is filed under the name Heterosigma akashiwo. Lineage: Eukaryota; Raphidophyceae; Chattonellales; Chattonellaceae. The record is from RNAcentral.
UGUUGCUGGUGGACGGACUUCUUAUCAGUGCACAUUUCUUUCAAAUGGUCAUGUCAAACGCCACCAUAUACUACAUCGUUGCGGCUGUUGUGGGGAGCUUAGUCGCUGGGUGUUGUUGUAUGGGUUUGGUUUUUCUAAGGCGACAGGAUAAGCCUUUUAAUCAGGAAGGAAAGUUGUCGUGGUACGCAUCUCCAGGUGCUGCUGCUGGGGACGUCUCUGAUGCAGAAUCUAUUGCUAGCAAUGGAGAGCGCAGAAGUAAAAGCAAAAAGAAGAGCAGUAGAAAGCUCAAGAAAAAGAGGAAAGAUAAGAAGAAGAAAAGAGACACCUCAUUGGACAGCCGGUCUUCUCGUUCAA